Molecule: ribosomal RNA, 333 nt
Filed under: uncultured Methylobacterium sp.
Lineage: Bacteria; Pseudomonadati; Pseudomonadota; Alphaproteobacteria; Hyphomicrobiales; Methylobacteriaceae
Description: bacterial SSU rRNA
Rfam family: Bacterial small subunit ribosomal RNA
Source: RNAcentral
UUCGCCCUUAGAGUUUGAUCCUGGCUCAGAGCGAACGCUGGCGGCAGGCUUAACACAUGCAAGUCGAGCGGGCCCUUCGGGGUCAGCGGCAGACGGGUGAGUAACGCGUGGGAACGUGCCCUUCGGUUCGGAAUAACUCAGGGAAACUUGAGCUAAUACCGGAUACGCCCUUAUGGGGAAAGGAUUGACUGCCGAAGGAUCGGCCCGCGUCUGAUUAGCUAGUUGGUGAGGUUAUGGCUCACCAAGGCGACGAUCAGUAGCUGGUCUGAGAGGAUGAUCAGCCACACUGGGACUGAGACACGGCCCAGACUCCUACGGGAGGCAGCAGAAGGG